This 270-nucleotide ribosomal RNA is filed under the name uncultured archaeon. RNAcentral's name for it is "partial 16S ribosomal RNA". It matches the Rfam family "Archaeal small subunit ribosomal RNA", at positions 477 to 747 of the family's 1478-position model. The record is from RNAcentral.
CUGCAGCCCGAGUGGUGAUCGAUUUUAUUGAGCCUAAAGCGUCCGUAGCCGGUCUAGUAAACUCUUGGGUAAAUUGGGCAGCUUAACUGUCCAAAUUCCGAGAGGACUGCUAGACUUGGGACCGGGAGAGGUCAGAGGUACUCCAGGGGUAGGGGCUAAAUCCUGUAAUCCUUGGGGGACCACCAGUGGCGAAGGCGUCUGAUUAGAACGGAUCCGACGGUAAGGGACGAAACCCUGGGGCGCGAACCGGAUUAGAUACCCGAGUAGUCC